UUUUCCUAGUGUUUCAGGGAAAAAAAUCUACAAAAUUUAUACAGGAAACCAGAGAAAUUUAAAUUUUGUGGGAUCCUGGAUUUUCAGUUUUUUUUUUCAAAAUUUUAUAUUUUUUCAAAAAAAAAAUUUCUAAACAAUUUG
This is a non-coding RNA of Caenorhabditis elegans, 141 nucleotides long. Lineage: Eukaryota; Metazoa; Nematoda; Chromadorea; Rhabditida; Rhabditidae. The record is from Ensembl.